AGGAAAGGACCAAAACAAGAAAGUGGCGAGGAGAUCCCGUGCUCAGGCUCAGGCCGUGUGGUGCUGGGCUGGAAUGGCCACUGACAGCAGCUUCUCCCUCCUUGCCGAUGACACUCUGGGGUCCUUCCUUCUGUGCUCGCAUCCCAAAAAAACAAAACCGCCGGCCUGUCCACCUUCCUCAUUCAUAACUCCCAGGUAGGGAAGUUCUCUCUGGAGGUAAAAACUCCGACCUUAAAGGAAUCCAGGAUUUUACUAUGAUUAUUUUUAAAAAUAAUUGUGUUAUCAAAUAUCAAAUCUGGACUCUAUAAGCCAAACAUUUCUAUGAAAAAAUAAUGUAUGUAUUUCUAAACAAAAGAUUUUCUUUAUAUAGUUUCAGUUAAUGAUUAUUGUCUGGGAAAAACAAAACCCUAAUAAUAAUUGUAAAUGUAGUCUGGUGUCAGAUUUGAUCACAUUACAGAAAUGUAGCCUUAAAGUUAUUUUAGCAAACAACUUCUGAUGUCAGAUUUUUUUUU
Molecule: long non-coding RNA, 512 nt
Organism: Oryzias melastigma (Indian medaka)
Lineage: Eukaryota; Metazoa; Chordata; Actinopteri; Beloniformes; Adrianichthyidae
Exons: 2
Source: RefSeq, a predicted model, not a curated record